This is a long non-coding RNA of Notothenia coriiceps (black rockcod), 117 nucleotides long. RefSeq lists it as uncharacterized. The record is from RefSeq and is a predicted model, not a curated record. The transcript has 3 exons. Lineage: Eukaryota; Metazoa; Chordata; Actinopteri; Perciformes; Nototheniidae.
UCAUCAUCAUCGGCCCCCCAUCCCAUACCAAAGCCAUCCAGAAUUUCAACUUCACCAUUGACAGCCACACUCUAUCUCCCCCCCCUCACAUCUGCAACCUCGGACAUCUUCGACAGC